UACGAAGGGGGCUAGCGUUGCUCGGAAUCACUGGGCGUAAAGCGCACGUAGGCGGAUCGUUAAGUCGGGGGUGAAAUCCUGGAGCUCAACUCCAGAACUGCCUCCGAUACUGGCGAUCUUGGAGUCCGGGAGAGGUGAGUGGAACUCCGAGUGUAGAGGUGAAAUUCGUAGAUAUUCGGAAGAACACCAGUGGCGAAGGCGGCUCACUGGCCCGGUACUGACGCUGAGGUGCGAAAGCGUGGGUAGCAAACAGG
RNAcentral lists this ribosomal RNA (254 nucleotides) under uncultured bacterium. RNAcentral's name for it is "partial 16S ribosomal RNA". It matches the Rfam family "Bacterial small subunit ribosomal RNA", at positions 524 to 776 of the family's 1533-position model. The record is from RNAcentral.